RNAcentral lists this ribosomal RNA (428 nucleotides) under uncultured bacterium. RNAcentral describes it as "partial 16S ribosomal RNA". It matches the Rfam family "Bacterial small subunit ribosomal RNA", at positions 354 to 796 of the family's 1533-position model. The record is from RNAcentral.
GUGGGGAAUAUUGGGCAAUGGGCGGAAGCCUGACCCAGCGACGCCGCGUGGGGGAAGAAGUCUUUCGGGAUGUAAACCCUUGUUGUACGGGACGAAGGAAGUGACGGUACCGUACGAGGAAGCCCCGGCAAACUACGUGCCAGCAGCCGCGGUAAUACGUAGGGGGCGAGCGUUGUCCGGAAUCACUGGGCGUAAAGCGCACGUAGGCGGGCUGUCAAGUCGGCCGUGAAAGGCACGGGCUCAACCUGUGCAUGUCGGUCGAUACUGGCGGUCUGGAGUAUGGGAGAGGGAACUGGAAUUCCCGGUGUAGCGGUGAAAUGCGUAGAUAUUGGGAAGAACACCGGUGGCGAAGGCGACUUGCUGGCCAGCAACUGACGCUGAGGCGCGAAAGCCAGGGGAGCAAACGGGAUUAGAUACCCGUGUAGUCC